UCCGGCUUGUCACCGGCAGUUUCCUUAGAGUUCUCAGCUUAACCUGUUAGCAACUAAGGAUGAGGGUUGCGCUCGUUGCGGGACUUAACCCAACAUCUCACGACACGAGCUGACGACAGCCAUGCAGCACCUGUGUGGUAGCCAGCCGAACUGAAGGAGAACGUUUCUGCUCUCCAUACUACCCAAGUCAAGGCCUGGUAAGGUUCUUCGCGUUGCCUCGAAUUAAACCACAUGCUCCACCGCUUGUGCGGGUCCCCGUCAAUUCCUUUGAGUUUUAAUCUUGCGACCGUACUCCCCAGGCGGAGUGCUUAAUGCGUUAGCGACGCCACUGAGACUGAAAGUCCCAACGGCUAGCACUCAUCGUUUACAGCGUGGACUAC
RNAcentral lists this unclassified non-coding RNA (380 nucleotides) under uncultured Rickettsiales bacterium. Its description in RNAcentral is "contains 16S-23S intergenic spacer region". The record is from RNAcentral. Lineage: Bacteria; Pseudomonadati; Pseudomonadota; Alphaproteobacteria; Rickettsiales.